AACGAACGCUGGCGGCAGGCCUAACACAUGCAAGUCGAACGGGACCUUCGGGUCUAGUGGCGGACGGGUGAGUAACGCGUGGGAACGUGCCCUUUGGUUCGGAAUAGCCUCGGGAAACUGGGAGUAAUACCGGAUACGGUCGGAAGACGAAAGAUUUAUCGCCGAAGGAUCGGCCCGCGUUGGAUUAGGUAGUUGGUGGGGUAAAGGCCUACCAAGCCGACGAUCCAUAGCUGGUUUGAGAGGAUGAUCAGCCACACUGGGACUGAGACACGGCCCAGACUCCUACGGGAGGCAGCAGUGGGGAAUCUUAGACAAUGGGGGAAAGCCUGAUCCAGCAAUGCCGCGUGAGUGAUGAAGGCCUUAGGGUUGUAAAGCUCUUUUACCCGAGAUGAUAAUGACAGUAUCGGGAGAAUAAGCUCCGGCUAAACUCCGUGCCAGCAGCCGCGGU
This 448-nucleotide ribosomal RNA is filed under the name uncultured bacterium. RNAcentral's name for it is "bacterial SSU rRNA". It matches the Rfam family "Bacterial small subunit ribosomal RNA", at positions 29 to 521 of the family's 1533-position model. The record is from RNAcentral.